This 499-nucleotide ribosomal RNA is filed under the name uncultured bacterium. RNAcentral describes it as "partial 16S ribosomal RNA". It matches the Rfam family "Bacterial small subunit ribosomal RNA", at positions 899 to 1397 of the family's 1533-position model. The record is from RNAcentral.
ACUCAAAGGAAUAGACGGGGACCCGCACAAGCGGUGGAGCAUGUGGUUUAAUUCGAUGCAACGCGAAGAACCUUACCUGGCCUUGACAUCCCAGGAACCUCGCAGAAAUGUGAGGGUGCCGUAAGGAACCUGGAGACAGGUGCUGCAUGGCUGUCGUCAGCUCGUGUCGUGAGAUGUUGGGUUAAGUCCCGCAACGAGCGCAACCCUUGUCCUUAGUUGCCAGCACUUCGGGUGGGCACUCUAAGGAGACCGCCGGUGACAAACCGGAGGAAGGUGGGGAUGACGUCAAGUCAUCAUGGCCUUUAUGGCCAGGGCUACACACGUGCUACAAUGGCCGGUACAGAGGGUUGCCAACCCGCGAGGGGGAGCCAAUCCCAUAAAACCGGUCGUAGUCCGGAUCGGAGUCUGCAACUCGACUCCGUGAAGUCGGAAUCGCUAGUAAUCGCGAAUCAGCCAUGUCGCGGUGAAUACGUUCCCGGGUCUUGCACACACCGCCCGU